This is an RNA transcript of Anopheles coluzzii, 5461 nucleotides long. It is a transcript of the gene named low-density lipoprotein receptor-like, with no coding region annotated. The transcript has 18 exons. NCBI's taxonomy places the organism in Eukaryota, Metazoa, Arthropoda, Insecta, Diptera, Culicidae. The record is from RefSeq and is a predicted model, not a curated record.
UACUCUCGCUCAGUUCUCGUAGCCAGGUCGGCGAAACAACUGUCAUGGUUCCGUGUGUUGUACGUGCAUAGUGUUCAGCUAAAGUCCAUCCGUCCGGGUUUGCGUAAUUUCGUGGCAAAGUGAAAGUCCUUCGCUUUUGUGUGUUGUGCCGUGCGUGUAGUUUGUUACUGUGAAUCCAUCCGCACCUCAAUGUGUCCGUACAACGUCACCAAUCGUGAAGAAAAUUGGCGACAAUAGAAAUGCAUCAUCCAUUUUGGCUGGUCGUUCGGUUACCAUGCUUUGCGGUUGAAACAUGUGCUUUGUGAAGAAAACCUAAGUGUGUACUUGUGUACGUGUGUACCUGUGUGUGUGCGAGAGAGUUUGUGUAUUACUUUGUGUGAAUGUUCGGAAAAGCUGUACCGGCUUUCAAAGCAAAUUUCCUCUACUGCCCCCAAAACGUGUUCGGUUUGAAGUGUGUGCGCGGCGGCGUGUGUGUUAACACAGUUUAACCCGACGGGGUGUUGUUCGUGGCACGGUCGACCAGCGGGAGGAAGGAAGAGGCGGAGGGCUCCCCAGACACGCUAGCGACAGUUCCUGGCGGGCCGUGCAAAAUGGGGCACCACCAGAAGAUGAAGGUUACUAGCGCGUGGCUUCUGACAUUGCUCGUCCUUGUGCCGCCGUCGUUCGGUGCCGGGGCAACCGACAAGCUGGAAAAGCUGGCGAUGCAAGAAGCGAAAGAGCAUGUGCUAAAGAACAACAUGGUGCUGGAGCCGACACUUACCACAACCACCACCAUCACUACGGCAGGCAGGUUGGCGUCCGGCAACGGUACCACCGGUGGGGCCGCGGGUGCGGCCAAAUCGACGACAGGACUCCCGAGCGAAUUUAAUAUGACUCUCCAGUGCGCUGAACGUCAAUUUCGCUGCGGCAGUGGCCAAUGCAUCCAUAUAAGUUUCGUGUGCGACGGCGAAGAUGAUUGUAACGACGGUAGUGAUGAGGAUGUACACGUGUGCAAAAUUACAGAGAGCUCCUGUCCCGGUGACAAAUUCCGCUGCAAGAACGGUAGGUGUAUCCUGAAGCGUUGGCAGUGUGACGGUGAACGAGACUGUGCCGACGGUUCGGACGAGGACGCCCAGCAAUGCCAGAGCAAAGUGUGCUCGUCGGAGGAAUUUACGUGUCGCAGUGGAACCGGCAACUGCAUCCCGCUGGGCUGGAUGUGCGACCAGAACCGGGACUGUGCCGAUGGGUCCGAUGAGAUGUCCUGCAAUGAAACCUGCCGAUCGGAUGAGUUCACCUGUGGCAACGGGCGCUGCAUCCAGAAGCGCUGGGUGUGCGACCACGAUGACGACUGUGGCGAUAAGACGGACGAGGACAACUGCCCAACCACGACGUGCGAUCCGCUGAAACAGUUCGCCUGUGCGGAGAACUAUUGCAUCACCAGCAAGUGGCGCUGCGAUGGCGAACCCGACUGUCCGGAUGGUUCCGACGAGCGGGGAUGUGCAAAUCCACCACCGCCUACGUUCUCCACCUGUCUGCCGCUGGAAUACCAAUGCAACGAUCGCAUCACCUGCAUCCAUCGGAGCUGGAUCUGCGACGGGGAGAAGGAUUGCCCGCGCGGGGACGAUGAAAUGCCACCGAUCUGUCAGAAUGUGACCUGCCGCUCGGACCAGUUCCAGUGCAAGAAGGACAAAACGUGCAUCAACGGUCACUUUGCCUGUAACGGCAAGAACGACUGUUCGGACGGUAGCGACGAGCAGAACUGUGGUGUGAACGUUCGCAGUGAGAAAUGCAACCCGAAGACAGAGUUCGAUUGCGGCGGUGGCAUGUGCAUACCGCUGGCGAAGGUUUGCGACCAGAACCCCGACUGUCCCGAGUUUCAGGACGAGCCGGCCGACAAGUGCGGCAAGAACGAAUGUCUGCAGGGUAACGGUGGCUGCUCGCAGCUUUGCGUGGACACACCAGCCGGCUUCUACUGCGACUGUAAACCGGGCUUUAAGCUGGCCGACAAUCGGACGUGUGUCGACAUCGAUGAGUGCGAAGAGCCCGGCUCCUGCUCCCAGAGCUGCAUCAAUGAGAUCGGUACGUUCAAGUGCGAGUGUAUGGACAACUAUCUGCGCGAUCCGCGCGAUCACACCCGGUGUAAGCCGAAGGAGGGUCACGCUUCGCUACUGUUUGCCCGCCGCCACGACAUUCGCAAGAUUUCGCUCGACCACCGUGAGAUGACGUCGAUCGUGAACGACACCAAGUCGGCCACUGCGCUAGACUUUGUGUUUCGUACUGGCAUGAUCUACUGGAGUGAUGUGUCGGAGAAGCGCAUUUACAAGGCACCGAUUGACGAAGGGUCAGACAAGACGGUCGUAGUGAAGGACCAGCUCGUUACCUCGGACGGACUGGCGGUGGAUUGGAUCUACAAUCACAUCUACUUUACCGACAUCAAAAAGUCAACCAUCGAGCUGACGAACUUCGACGGCAACAUGGGCAAGGUGUUGAUCCAGGACGAUUUGGAAAUUCCGCGUGCGAUUGCGCUGGACCCUAUCGACGGUUGGAUGUACUGGACCGAUUGGGGCACCAAUCCAAGAAUUGAGCGUGCUGGUAUGGACGGUACCCACCGGCAAGUGAUUGUCAGCUACGAGGUGAAGUGGCCGAACGGAAUCACGCUGGAUUUGGUGCGAAAGCGUGUGUAUUGGGUCGAUGCGAAGCUGAACGUCAUCUCGUCCUGCAACUACGACGGCUCCAAGCGCUCGGUAAUACUGUACUCGGCCGACUAUCUGCGACAUCCGUUCUCGAUCACCACGUUCGAGGAUUACGUGUACUGGACCGAUUGGGACAAGGAGGCCGUCUUUAAGGCGAACAAAUUCACCGGCAAAGACGUAGAGCCGGUAACGGCAAUGCAUAUGCUGCAACAUCCGAUGACGAUUCACGUGUACCACCCGUACCGCCAGCCGGACGGCGUCAACCACUGUCAGGCGGUGAACGGCCACUGUUCGCAUCUGUGCCUGCCGGCGCCCCAAAUUAACGCCAACAGUCCGAAGAUUUCCUGCGCCUGCCCGACCGGCCUGAAGCUGAUGAGCGACAGCUUGAUGUGCGUGGAGGACGAAAAACCCACGGCCGGGCCGGCGGGCGAGGAUGGCACGAGCAGCGGCCGGAUCGAUAGCAACAAUGCGACGAUGCGAAAUGGUACGGACGGUACGAUCAUCCACCCGGGCGUGGUCGAGAAGGACUCCGGCCAGGUGGCCCUCGUUGCCAUCGUCAUCGUUUCGUUGGUGUUGGUCAUCGUCGGAUUGAUUGUGUUCGUUCUCUACCGGCACUACACGCAUCGAAACUCGACCACGAUGAACUUUGACAAUCCGGUGUACCGAAAAACGACCGAGGACCAGUUCAGCCUGGAGAAGAACAUACAGAGCCGCAUGUACCCGAGCACCGUCGGCGAAGAGAUAAAUACGUUUCACUAUCGCACAUGAAUCAGUGUGUGCUGUGUUUGUCGGAACAGUAGCUUAGACGUUAAUUAAAAGUAUCCGGAUUAGGACAGCGGAAGGAUGUAAGGGAAACUGCGGCAAAAAAAAAAUUCCGAACGGAAAAAAGAGAGAAAGAAAGAGAGAGGGAGGGAGUGAAAGACAAAGAAGUAACAAAGCGCAACGCGGGCUAACCGUGGCCUGCCUCCUCCAAAAACGCACCUCUGUACAGUCCACUAUCAAGACCACUAUCAAGACCACCACACACUAGCAAGAUCGUCAUCAUCCGCUGCUGCCAAAAAAAUCAUCUGCCCUCGAUUGCACGUAAUUUAUGUGUGUGCUGUCUGUGUGUGUGCGUGGGUGUGUGUGUGUGGUUAGAGCUUUUUCUUCGACACGAAACGAUCACGCCAAACUGCACAACCAUCAGCACAAAUGACGGCGUUGGUGAACUUCUGCCGCACGCUCUAACUGCUCAACCAGCCUGCGCUCACAGAUACGCACACUCACAUACACCACCGUCGCGCACACUUACCGAAGGACACACACCGGAUGUGUCCCCGCUCAUCCCGACCACACGCGGGAAGGCACAGGAACCACUGACCCGGCCGGCCACCAACGAUUUUGUGUGAGCGAUGCGACCCGCGGCACUGACCAAAAACCAAAAUGCGCACAAAAUUUCAACGUGGCUGUUAAGCAGUAAGCAGUUAAACGGAUAAGCAGAAGCAAAGAGUGAAGCAACAACAAACCCCACCCGCUCAAAUAUUAAGCUAAAUUAAAAACGGUGGUAGUAAGCAGUAGAGAAGAAGAAGAAGAAGAAGAAAAAGAAGAAGAAGAAGAAGAAGAAGAAGAAGAAGAAGAAGAACAACUAGAAGAAGACUAAGAAGAAAGCAAAAACAAUUCUGCAUCUUUGUCCUAACCGAGCGACGGAAGUCAAACCAACCAACAACUCAAAAUAGUUUCCGAUCAAGCUCUCAAUCAAAACCAGUUAAACCUGUGUAAUUGUGUGCAAUAUUAAGUUAAAAUCAAAGCAAAGCAAACAUACAAAUACUCACCAACCAGGAACGGCAACAGUAGUAGUAAGGGAAGACCAUUCGAGGCGACGAAUACGAUUUAUGAUCCUUUUUUUUCUAACACGAUUAAUUUCUAAUACGAUUGAUUAAUGCCUGUACACACUUCAAACAGAUUCUACCGACCGGGCUAUGUUAGCUAAGUUUGUGCCUUAUUGUUUUUUUGAUUCUUCAUCUGUGUGACAGUUAAACCCCAUCCCUAUUUACUACACACACACACACAUUAGCACAUUCAGCCUGUUUAGUGAUAGGGCACAGAGGAUUCUCACCUUCCCUAAGACAGUUGGCGCACAUGAUCGUGGAGUGUUUGGAGUGUACAAGUCGCUCGAAGGCUUCGAGCUAUACGCAAGAAAGUACGCCAACUGUUUCAGAAAAUGUGAAAAUUCCUUCAAGUUUAGUAAUUGGUUUUCCCCUUCCUUUCCUUUUCGAAUGAUUUGCUGCUAUCAAGUUGCGACCGAUCAAACGAUCACGCACUGUUGUACCCACGAGAGUGGGAGGGCAGUAAAUCGACCAAAGGAAAGGGUUCACAACAGCUCUACUCUUGUAUUGUAAAGUCAAAUUUCAGCUUCAAGUUAGUUUAAAUUUAGAUAGUGGAAAACGGUUGACAGUAAGCAUAGCUCGCUCGAAACGCUGAGGUCCGGUUUGCUGCGGUGGUCAAUGUUUGUUAGCAAAAUCUAUUCGGGAAACGGUGAUCAGGUGUGUGUGUGUGGGGGGCAGUUUAUGCUCCAGCGCGGUGACGUUUAUUUAAGGGUGUUACUUUACAGCGUGUUUUAAGGUACAGCAGAAGUAAAGGCUGUAUAAAGGAGGAGGUGAGAAAACUCCCACAGGAAGUUAGAAGUUCCGACGCCGGAUAGGGAAGGCAGAUGAUCCACCUGGAUGGAUCGGGUGCGUCCAAUUAAUAGUCCCGACUAACUAGAACGGUAGUUGUAAAUACACGUAGUUCUUUAUGUUUUUUUGGUUGAA